AACCUAGCACACCUGCGGUGUGUACCUGCGGAGGGAUCAUUACCUAGAGUUGUAGGCUUUGCCUGCUAUCUCUUACCCAUGUCUUUUGAGUACCUUACGUUUCCUCGGUGGGCUCGCCCACCGAUUGGACAAAUUUAAACCCUUUGCAGUUGAAAUCAGCGUCUGAAAAAACUUAAUAGUUACAACUUUCAGCAACGGAUCU
This 202-nucleotide unclassified non-coding RNA is filed under the name soil metagenome. Its description in RNAcentral is "partial contains 5.8S ribosomal RNA, internal transcribed spacer 2, and large subunit ribosomal RNA". The record is from RNAcentral.